Molecule: long non-coding RNA, 311 nt
Filed under: Malus domestica (apple)
Lineage: Eukaryota; Viridiplantae; Streptophyta; Magnoliopsida; Rosales; Rosaceae
Description: long non-coding RNA (MDOM_LNC019066)
Source: RNAcentral
AAAACCUUACUCAUAGUGAAUUUCUGCCCAAGACGAUCGAAUCAGUGGGAUUAUCGAAGCUGGAACACUUUGGAACGGUGCCGUUUUGGGAUACCAAUUUGCUCGAAUCAAAUUGCCAAUUUCAGUUGACGAGACAACGUGGCUGGCGGUGUAGAGUCCCAGAGAGUGACGCUGGAGCUGUUGACGAGGCAGAGGGUGUCGGAUUGGAGGCAAUGGCAAUCGCGAAUCAUUAAGCUUCCACGCCACAGAUGCAAUGGAUGUGUAAUCACAAUUUGCAACCUAACAAUUUGGAGAAAGCGGAGAGAGAAAAC